GUAGGUGGCAAGCGUUGUCCGGAAUUAUUGGGCGUAAAGCGCGCGCAGGCGGUUCUUUAAGUCUGAUGUGAAAGCCCACGGCUCAACCGUGGAGGGUCAUUGGAAACUGGAGAACUUGAGUACAGAAGAGGAAAGCGGAAUUCCACGUGUAGCGGUGAAAUGCGUAGAGAUGUGGAGGAACACCAGUGGCGAAGGCGGCUUUCUGGUCUGUAACUGACGCUGAGGCGCGAAAGCGUGGGGAGCAAACAGGAUUAGAUACCCUGGUAGUCCACGCCGUAAACGAUGAGUGCUAAGUGUUAGGGGGGUUUCCGCCCCCCUUAGUGCUGCAGCUAACGCAUUAAGCGCUCCGCCUGGGAGUACGGCCGCAAGGCUG
Molecule: ribosomal RNA, 373 nt
Filed under: uncultured organism
Description: partial 16S ribosomal RNA
Rfam family: Bacterial small subunit ribosomal RNA
Source: RNAcentral